GACGAACGCUGGCGGCGUGCUUAACACAUGCAAGUCGAACGGAAAGGCCCUGCUGUUGUGGGGUGCUCGAGUGGCGAACGGGUGAGUAACACGUGAGUAACCUGCCCUUGACUUUGGGAUAACUUCAGGAAACUGGGGCUAAUACCGGAUAGGAGCUCCUGCUGCAUGGUGGGAGUUGGAAAGUUUCGGCGGUUGGGGAUGGACUCGCGGCUUAUCAGCUUGUUGGUGGGGUAGUGGCUUACCAAGGCUUUGACGGGUAGCCGGCCUGAGAGGGUGACCGGCCACAUUGGGACUGAGAUACGGCCCAGACUCCUACGGGAGGCAGCAGUGGGGAAUAUUGCACAAUGGGCGGAAGCCUGAUGCAGCAACGCCGCGUGCGGGAUGACGGCCUUCGGGUUGUAAACCGCUUUCGCCUGUGACGAAGCGUGAGUGACGGUAAUGGGAAAAGAAGCACCGGCUAACUACGUG
Molecule: ribosomal RNA, 468 nt
Filed under: uncultured bacterium
Lineage: Bacteria
Description: partial 16S ribosomal RNA
Rfam family: Bacterial small subunit ribosomal RNA
Source: RNAcentral